GACGACGCUGGCGGCGUGGAUUAGGCAUGCAAGUCGAACGGUAUCAUCCUUCGGGGUGAGAGAGUGGCGAACUGGUGAGUAACACGUAGGUUAUCUACCCUCAAGACGGGACAACCCAGGGAAACUUGGGCUAAUACCGGAUGUGAGCAACUUUUAGUUGUUUGAAAGGUGGCGUAAGCUGUCGCUUGGGGAUGAGCCUGCGUCCUAUUAGUUAGUUGGUGAGGUAACGGCUCACCUAGGCAAUGAUAGGUAGGCGGCCUUAACGGGUGGUCGCCCACACUGGGAUUGAGAUACGGCCCAGACUCCUACGGGAGGCAGCAGUCGAGAAUAGUCUACAAUGGUCGGAAGACUGAUAGUGCGACGCCGCGUGAACGAUGAAUCCCUUCGGGGUGUAAAGUUCUUUUAUAUGUGAGCAGUGCUUCUUAUAUUAACAGUAUGGGGAGAGAGAUAUUAGCAUAUGAAUAAGCAACGGCUAACUCCGUG
Molecule: ribosomal RNA, 483 nt
Filed under: uncultured bacterium
Lineage: Bacteria
Description: bacterial SSU rRNA
Rfam family: Bacterial small subunit ribosomal RNA
Source: RNAcentral